RNAcentral lists this ribosomal RNA (500 nucleotides) under uncultured bacterium. RNAcentral's name for it is "partial 16S ribosomal RNA". It matches the Rfam family "Bacterial small subunit ribosomal RNA", at positions 28 to 507 of the family's 1533-position model. The record is from RNAcentral.
GACGAACGCUGGCGGCGUGCUUAACACAUGCAAGUCGAACGGGUCUGCCCUGUUUUUUGCGGGGUGGGUCAGUGGCGAACGGGUGAGUAACACGUGAGUAACCUGCCCCUCACUUCUGGAUAACCGCUUGAAAGGGUGGCUAAUACGGGGUGUUCUGGCUGUGCCGCAUGGUGUGGCUGGGAAAGAUUCACUUUUGUGGUGUUUUGGUGGGGGAUGGGCUCGCGGCCUAUCAGCUUGUUGGUGGGGUGAUGGCCUGCCAAGGCUUUGACGGGUAGCCGGCCUGAGAGGGUGGGCGGUCACACUGGGACUGAGAUACGGCCCAGACUCCUGCGGGAGGCAGCAGUGGGGGGUAUUGCACAAUGGGCGGAAGCCUGAUGCAGCGACGCCGCGUGAGGGAUGGAGGCCGUCGGGUUGUGAACCUCUUUCGCCGGUGAAGAAGGUCCUGCUCUUUGGGGUGGGGUUGACGGUAGCCGGGUUAUGAAGCGCCGGCUAACUACGUG